AGAAGCCAUACUAUCCUCCACACACUCCAGUUUACAAGUCACCACCAACAACAACACCAGUCUACAAGUCUCCACCUCCACCAACUCCAGUUUACAAGUCACCCCCACCACACAAGAAGUCAUACUAUCCUUCACACACACCAAUUUACAAGUCAACACCACCACCGCCACCCAAGAAGUCAUACUAUCCUCCACACACCCCAGUUUACAAGUCUCCACCACCACCAACUCCAGUUUACAAGUCUCCACCACCACCCAAAAAGCCAUACUACCCUCCACACACCCCAGUUCAUAAGUCUCCACCACCAAUUCCGGUGUACAAGUCGCCGCCACCACCUAAGAGGUCAUACCAUCCUACACCAGUUUACAAGUCACCACCACCACCACCAACGAAGCCAUACCAUCCUACACCAGUUUACAAGUCACCAACAACAACAACAAAGCCAUACCAUCCUUCACCAGCACCAUACCAUCCUGCACCAGUUGACAAGUUUCCACCACCAUCAAAUC
This 510-nucleotide long non-coding RNA is filed under the name Capsicum annuum. RNAcentral describes it as "long non-coding RNA (CANN_LNC006488)". Lineage: Eukaryota; Viridiplantae; Streptophyta; Magnoliopsida; Solanales; Solanaceae. The record is from RNAcentral.